RNAcentral lists this ribosomal RNA (925 nucleotides) under Burkholderia sp. SB30_M4_a. RNAcentral's name for it is "bacterial SSU rRNA". It matches the Rfam family "Bacterial small subunit ribosomal RNA", at positions 82 to 1004 of the family's 1533-position model. Lineage: Bacteria; Pseudomonadati; Pseudomonadota; Betaproteobacteria; Burkholderiales; Burkholderiaceae. The record is from RNAcentral.
ACCCUGGUGGCGAGUGGCGAACGGGUGAGUAAUACAUCGGAACGUGUCCUGUAGUGGGGGAUAGCCCGGCGAAAGCCGGAUUAAUACCGCAUACGAUCUACGGAGGAAAGCGGGGGAUCUUCGGACCUCGCGCUGCAGGGGCGGCCGAUGGCAGAUUAGCUAGUUGGUGGGGUAAAGGCCUACCAAGGCGACGAUCUGUAGCUGGUCUGAGAGGACGACCAGCCACACUGGGACUGAGACACGGCCCAGACUCCUACGGGAGGCAGCAGUGGGGAAUUUUGGACAAUGGGGGCAACCCUGAUCCAGCAAUGCCGCGUGUGUGAAGAAGGCCUUCGGGUUGUAAAGCACUUUUGUCCGGAAAGAAAACUUCGUCCCUAAUAUGGAUGGAGGAUGACGGUACCGGAAGAAUAAGCACCGGCUAACUACGUGCCAGCAGCCGCGGUAAUACGUAGGGUGCGAGCGUUAAUCGGAAUUACUGGGCGUAAAGCGUGCGCAGGCGGUCUGUUAAGACCGAUGUGAAAUCCCCGGGCUUAACCUGGGAACUGCAUUGGUGACUGGCAGGCUAGAGUGUGGCAGAGGGAGGUAGAAUUCCACGUGUAGCAGUGAAAUGCGUAGAGAUGUGGAGGAAUACCGAUGGCGAAGGCAGCCUCCUGGGCCAACACUGACGCUCAUGCACGAAAGCGUGGGGAGCAAACAGGAUUAGAUACCCUGGUAGUCCACGCCCUAAACGAUGUCAACUAGUUGUUGGGGAUUCAUUUCCUUAGUAACGUAGCUAACGCGUGAAGUUGACCGCCUGGGGAGUACGGUCGCAAGAUUAAAACUCAAAGGAAUUGACGGGGACCCGCACAAGCGGUGGAUGAUGUGGAUUAAUUCGAUGCAACGCGAAAAACCUUACCUACCCUUGACAUGGUCGGAAUCCUGCUGA